This 515-nucleotide ribosomal RNA is filed under the name Chaetopsylla appropinquans. Its description in RNAcentral is "SSU rRNA". It matches the Rfam family "Eukaryotic small subunit ribosomal RNA", at positions 673 to 1121 of the family's 1831-position model. The record is from RNAcentral. Lineage: Eukaryota; Metazoa; Arthropoda; Insecta; Siphonaptera; Vermipsyllidae.
UCUGUGUCCCACACUGUCGGUUCACCGCUCGCGGUGUUCAACUGGCAUGUCUGUGGGACGUCCUACCGGUGGGCUUAGCCCGUCAAACGGCGGCCCAACUAAAAAUCCUACCACGGUGCUCUUCACCGAGUGUCGAGGUGGGCCGGUACGUUUACUUUGAACAAAUUAGAGUGCUUAAAGCAGGCUCAUUUGCCUGAAUAUUGUGUGCAUGGAAUAAUGGAAUAGGACCUCGGUUCUAUUUUGUUGGUUUUCGGAACUCCGAGGUAAUGAUUAAUAGGGACAACUGGGGGCAUUCGUAUUGCGACGUUAGAGGUGAAAUUCUUGGAUCGUCGCAAGACGGACAGAAGCGAAAGAAAUGUGUUUUCAUCAAUCAAGAACGAAAGUUAGAGGUUCGAAGGCGAUCAGAUACCGCCCUAGUUCUAACCAUAAACGAUGCCAGCUAGCGAUCCGCCGAAGUUCCUCCGAUGACUCGGCGGGCAGCUUCCGGGAAACCAAAGCUUUUGGGUUCCGGGGGA